UACGUAGGUGACCAGCGUUGUCCGGAUUUACUGGGCGUAAAGAGCGCGCAGGCGGUCGUUCAAGUCGAGUGUGAAAGCCCCCGGCUCAACUGGGGAGGGUCAUUCGAUACUGAUCGACUUGAAGGCAGGAGAGGGAAGCGGAAUUCCCGGUGUAGUGGUGAAAUGCGCAGAUAUCAGGAAGAAUAUCCGUGGCGAAGGCGGCUCUCUGGUGCGGCACUGACGCUGAGACGCGAAAGCGUGGGGAGCGAACAGG
This 253-nucleotide ribosomal RNA is filed under the name uncultured bacterium. Its description in RNAcentral is "partial 16S ribosomal RNA". It matches the Rfam family "Bacterial small subunit ribosomal RNA", at positions 524 to 776 of the family's 1533-position model. The record is from RNAcentral.